RNAcentral lists this ribosomal RNA (254 nucleotides) under uncultured bacterium. RNAcentral describes it as "partial 16S ribosomal RNA". It matches the Rfam family "Bacterial small subunit ribosomal RNA", at positions 524 to 776 of the family's 1533-position model. The record is from RNAcentral.
UACGUAGGGGGCGAGCGUUGUCCGGAAUCAUUGGGCGUAAAGAGCUCGUAGGCGGUUCAGUAAGUCGGGUGUGAAAGCUCCGAGCUCAACUCGGAGAGGCCACUCGAUACUGCUGUGACUAGAAUCCAGUAGGGGAGUGUGGAAUUCCUGGUGUAGCGGUGAAAUGCGCAGAUAUCAGGAGGAACACCGGCGGCGAAGGCGGCACUCUGGGCUGGUAUUGACGCUGAGGAGCGAAAGUGUGGGUAGCAAACAGG